GACGAACGCUGGCGGCGUGCUUAACACAUGCAAGUCGAACGGUAAGGCCCUUCGGGGUACACGAGUGGCGAACGGGUGAGUAACACGUGGGUGAUCUGCCCUGCACUUCGGGAUAAGCCUGGGAAACUGGGUCUAAUACCGGAUAGGACCACUGCCUGCAUGGGUGGUGGUGGAAAGCUUUUGCGGUGUGGGAUGGGCCCGCGGCCUAUCAGCUGGUUGGUGGGGUGAUGGCCUACCAAGGCGACGACGGGUAGCCGGCCUGGGAGGGUGACCGGCCACGCUGGGACUGAGAGACGGCCCAGACUCCUACGGGAGGGAGCAGUGGGGAAUAUUGCACAAUGGGCGCAAGCCUGAUGCAGCGACGCCGCGGGAGGGAUGGCGGCCUUCGGGUUGUAAACCUCUUUCAGCACCGACGAAGCGCAAGUGACGGUAGGUGCAGAAGAAGGACCGGCCAACUACGUGCCAGCCGCCGCCGUAA
RNAcentral lists this ribosomal RNA (478 nucleotides) under uncultured bacterium. RNAcentral describes it as "partial 16S ribosomal RNA". It matches the Rfam family "Bacterial small subunit ribosomal RNA", at positions 28 to 523 of the family's 1533-position model. The record is from RNAcentral.